RNAcentral lists this ribosomal RNA (253 nucleotides) under uncultured bacterium. RNAcentral's name for it is "partial 16S ribosomal RNA". It matches the Rfam family "Bacterial small subunit ribosomal RNA", at positions 524 to 776 of the family's 1533-position model. The record is from RNAcentral.
UACGUAGGGUGCAAGCGUUAAUCGGAAUUACUGGGCGUAAAGCGUGCGCAGGCGGUUUUGUAAGUCUGACGUGAAAUCCCCGGGCUCAACCUGGGAAUUGCGUUGGAGACUGCAAGGCUGGAGUCUGGCAGAGGGGGGUAGAAUUCCACGUGUAGCAGUGAAAUGCGUAGAUAUGCGGAGGAACACCGAUGGCGAAGGCAAUCCCCUGGGCCUGCACUGACGCUCAUGCACGAAAGCGUGGGGAGCAAACAGG